GGGGCUAUAGCUCAGUUGGAAGAGCGCCUCCAUGGCAUGGAGGAGGUCGGGGGUUCAAUUCCCCCUAGCUCCACCG
RNAcentral lists this transfer RNA (76 nucleotides) under Acidimicrobiaceae bacterium. Its description in RNAcentral is "tRNA-Ala". It matches the Rfam family "tRNA". Rfam says of the family: Transfer RNA (tRNA) molecules are approximately 80 nucleotides in length. The record is from RNAcentral. Lineage: Bacteria; Bacillati; Actinomycetota; Acidimicrobiia; Acidimicrobiales; Acidimicrobiaceae.